RNAcentral lists this long non-coding RNA (2074 nucleotides) under Bemisia tabaci. RNAcentral describes it as "lncRNA ENSSSA2NGG002072". Lineage: Eukaryota; Metazoa; Arthropoda; Insecta; Hemiptera; Aleyrodidae. The record is from RNAcentral.
ACAAAGAAUUCUGUUUUUUUCUUCUUCUAAGUGCAUCACAUUGAAAAUAGAUCAUUAUUAUUUUUCAGCAAGACCUAAUGUAAUGCUGUUACAAUAAUUGAAUCGCUCAUUCCUAAGAAGACUUCCUCGCCAAAAAAAAAUCGAAAAUUGAGUUAUUGAUAGUAUGGUCUUGCUUUGGCAUGGAUGUGUCUUGUAGCAAAGUGACAAGCAGAAAAAUGGAAUAUUAAGACCAGUUUAUGGAUUGAUCAUUAUAGUCAAUUAUUGAACUUUAGUUGGUAGAUUAUCGAGUGAUGUUGGCUGAAUAUAGUGCAAGGAAGGGUUUCAUCUAUCAAAAUCUCUCAUUAAUGGAGGGAGAGAGUAUUGAUGAUCAACCCUGUAACCUGCUGAUAUUAUCAUGCUCAGUAAUUUAAAAGAAAUUAACAGCAUAGAAUUCAAAGAAUUUUUUUUAAAACUACACAUCCCCCUUUAGAGUUAAGAAUGGAAAAUAGAUUAUGUUUGGCCUUUCAAAAAAUUUUACUUAUAUGAAAACUCUAUAUAAAAUUUUUCGAUUGGGUAAAUGCUUAGAUUAAAAAAUCGACAUCCCCUGAAGAAAUCUUAAAGGGAAGCUGGGAAUUCAUUCUCAAAUCAGUUAUUGAGUUUCUUAUCUUCUCUGACGAAUUUCACAUCCGGCGUCUGUCUGUGAAUAACUCUGAUCUGAUCUUAUGAUAUCAACAAUUUGUUUGCUCCCUCUAAGCACUGUGAGUAUUUCCAGGAUCAACUAGAAAAUUUUGAAAAUCGUAUACCUUUUGAAUCUGCAGAUGGAUGGCUGACGUUUUUGAAAAUCAACAAUGAAAGUAUAGACCUCUCAACUUUACUCUUAAUUAAUCCAGCUCGUGCUUCAUUUUACAGUAGCACUUUAGCAUUUUCUGGGUCAUACAAAUAUGUUCCAGUCCUGCCUUCUGAAGUAGUGAAGUUAGCAUGUGUCUACAGUCCUGAGAUUGAAACAUCCCUUUUCAGUGUUCUGUGGCUUCAAGCAGAAUUUAUCAUUAAUCCAGAUCAGAACCACAGCGGUGUCUCUUACAGCAUUAAUGACAAUGGGAGUGUAUCAGAGCUGAGAAUUGUAAAUAAUGGAAAUGAAAGCCGUAUAGAUGGGUUUUAUUCCUGUUGGGUGCAACCAGCAGAUGCAGCUAGUCAGGGAAAAUUAUUAAUUUCCUACGGUUUGGAUGUCAUUAAACCAGAAUCAGCUAGCGAAUCAGUAUUUCAUGCAAUCAAGAAUCGAAUAUAUACUGGAACAGAAAAUCCCUGUUACUUUCUGGUACUAUUACUUCUUUUUCCAAUCCUAAUCAUACUCUGCUGCUGCAAGGAAUGCAAGGUGGAGAGAAAAUAUAUCCAUGCAACAACUGGGAGAAAAAAUCAGGAGAGAGAUAAGUACUCACGACCCAAAGUACAGUAUUUAAAACUGCCAAAUCUAGAUCAAAAUGAAAAAUUCCUAAUAGGAGACGGACAAAGUUCUGGUUCUGAAUCUGAAGGUUCAAGGUUUGAUAAAGGAGAAUGCUCAAAAGAUAACAAAGGUGUCUUGGUUGACAAAGAUGGGAAACCUCGUAAAGACAUCAACGAGAGCCAUAAGAGGAGGUUAACAAGUGGAACUCAGGGCACCCUUGAUUCCAUCCAGAAUCCUCCGACUCUAGAUCUUCAAGGCCAGGAUGAAACAGGGAAUGGCCGUAGUUCUUUUCAAGCAAAUCUAGCUGAGAGGAUAUUAAGCUCAAAAAUAGCAUCCGAUUCACAAUGGCAGACUCAUUUGGGUUACUCAGGAUAUAGCACCUCUGAGGAAUUAUUACUUGGAACAGUUGAGUAUCCAGAAGUUGAUACUUCAGUUCAGAAAUUGAAGAAUCCCAGCAGAAAAAAUCUUGAAAAACCGGGUUUCAGGAAAGCACCUGUUCCUACAACUUCCGCUUCCCUCAAAUUUAAUGUUAAUACUGCUGGAUAUGAAACUACAGCAGGUGAAGAAAUUAAAUAUAUCCACCUUUUACUGAAGCACGGCUAUAAAUACAGAAGUAAAUUUUCUUUCAAACUCUUAUCCAAGAAUGUUUUUUAA